Long non-coding RNA from Apodemus sylvaticus (European woodmouse), 1335 nucleotides. RefSeq lists it as uncharacterized. The record is from RefSeq and is a predicted model, not a curated record. NCBI's taxonomy places the organism in Eukaryota, Metazoa, Chordata, Mammalia, Rodentia, Muridae. The transcript has 3 exons.
CGGAGCUCCAAUAACAAAGUGAGAGGUGUUAGCUCAGCACACCCAGGAAGUGAUGACAUGCAUUUUGCUCAAACACAGACUACAUGUAGCCUCAGAGGGGUGCAAAAUAAGGAGAGGUAAAAACUUUUAAAAAACGCUGGGUGCGGGGGCACAUGUCUUUAAUUCCAACAUCAGGCCAGUCAGUUACACAGUGGGACGUCACCUCAAAAGAGGACAGAGUUGGGAGCACACUAUUCUCCAUCUGAGCAACUGAGACAGAGACCACAGACGAUGAGUGACUGUGGACGGUAAAGACUGAGCUACAGAAGGAAGCAGCAGCCAAUCAGCAAACAGAGACUGUGCUGACCCUCGGGCUGCGGGAGCAUUAACUCCCUGGCUACCAGCACUGCUGCUGCUGCUGCUGCUGCUGUUCCUCCUGCUCUCUAAAGAAGGAAAGAUAAAACAGGCAUCGGACACCCUAAGUUCAGGAAGCAUUCUCCGCUCUGAUCUCAAAGUCACCUUCAAGCACUAAUGGAAGCACAUGGCUCGGAUUCCUCCCUGCCCAGAACAAAACCCACAGGAAAGACCAAUGUAAGGGGACAAGUCUCCCCACGUUCUCCUCCCCCAAGAAACAGCUUUAUAAACCAUAUGACACUCGUGAUGAAAAGACUGCAAUUUAGAAAUUGAGGACAAGAAAAAUUAACAGGAGCAUGAGACAAAAAGAACACAUGACCUGAUACAGAAGCCUCUGAAAUUGAGUUUGGAAACACAUGGGCAAUCGUCUAAUUACCAGAUGAAACAAACUACAACUCAGAGCUCAGUUUACCAGAGGAAAUAAAUACUAAGGCACUCUGUAUCACAGUUGUGAAUGAAUAAAUACCAAGGGAGGUAUGGCAGAUGCUCUAAAUGCAAUCAAGUUAAGUUGUUGUAUUUUUACAAUCAAGGUAUUAUAAUCUAUGGCUUUAUAGAUUUGUUACUAACCUCCUAAUCUGGCAGGUUAAAUUUCAACAUUCGAAGCCCUGGUUAGGUUUUCUAGAAAUGCUCCAGUAAGUUGACAUAAUAAUUAACGCCAUUUGAUCUACAAAAUCUGAGUACUCAGUGCUAAGAGUGAUGAGUGACCUUGAGGCAGCACUUGGAAGGCAGUCUCCAUGGCAACGCUUCCACAAAAGUGCCUCAUCCUCAGCAAAAGGACCAACCCAGAGCAUAAGGAUUUUUAAAACAGAAAACCUCGGCCCUCACCCACAAGCGUGGCAAGGUGUCACAGUUUCUUUUUAAAAAGUCUCUACAUUAACCUUCCAGAUUAUUCUUCAGAGAAAACACAAAUUAUCUUCACAGUUAUAUAUCUGAUCUGGCCAA